Molecule: ribosomal RNA, 200 nt
Filed under: uncultured bacterium
Lineage: Bacteria
Description: partial 16S ribosomal RNA
Rfam family: Bacterial small subunit ribosomal RNA
Source: RNAcentral
GCAGGCUGCAACUCGCCUGCAUGAAGUCGGAAUUGCUGUAAUCGCAGAUCAGCAUGCUGCGGUGAAUACGUUCCCGGGCCUUGUACACACCGCCCGUCACACCAUGGGAGUCGGUAACACCCGAAGUCGGUAGUCUAACCGAAAGGAGGACGCCGCCGAAGGUGGGAUUGAUGACUGGGGUGAAGUCGUAACAAGGUAUC